This 2260-nucleotide long non-coding RNA is filed under the name Toxoplasma gondii VEG. The record is from RNAcentral. Lineage: Eukaryota; Apicomplexa; Conoidasida; Eucoccidiorida; Sarcocystidae.
GCGUCGUCAAAGACCAGAAUGCUUUUUGUGGGAUAUGGAGGAAUGCACUGGGCAGAGCCCUCACGAUGAUAGAGACACACUCAGCCGCGUCAUUUCUGCAGGAGGAUAUGAGUGAUGAGGGCAACAUCUUGUGGAAUUGUUCGUCUAGCUGCUGCGCGACUGUGCAACACAGCUUUCAUUGCAUUUCUUGUCCGAGUGCCGUUACGGAUUUUUUCAGCCAGCACCAGUACGCAAAUGUCACGUUCUGUCCGGUUAUCCCCUUUAGACGGUUUGCUCUGAGCCGGGUGCGGUAAUGUAACUCGGCGCCAUUUGGUAGCUGAUAGACGACAGCGACGCCCGCAGGAUACAGUGUCUAGUCUCAGCAAUUCAUGUUGUAAAGAGAAUUGCGGCGGGUCAUAGCGCGACUAUUGCCGAAGACGUUUAUGUUAGUCAAUCUGUUCCUUGCAGAGGCAUCAAGCCGUGGUGGUCCACGAAGUGUCCACAUUGCCACGCGUGUGCACGGAUUCACGGUGCGUGUUCUGAUGGAAUGUCGCGCCGCCUUCAGGACAGCGUUGAAGGGGCUUCCCGCGUGUGAAUCAAAAGAAAUGGGUGGGAAUGUCGCCUGUUUCGCACACGUUGGAUGCGUCUGUCGGGUAUGUUGUGUUGACGGUCCUUUCAAUCUGCUGAAUAGGAAGGACCGACAUAUGGGGGGCAGGCGUCGUUGCGAACCAGCUGCCUCAGGUUCAGCCUUAUACCUUUUCGCAUUUUGCGCUUCAGUGCGUAUUCAUCCUGGCGAAGGAUGCACGUGGGAUGUUGUUUUCCUUGGGGCGCUUGGUGGUGGACGGACUGCUACAGGACUCCCAUGCUGUGAGCUGUAAUUGCCUGGAAUACUCCUCUCCAGUUGUCCUGACAUUGCCGUUUAUAUGAGAAAAUGAGAGGCCUCGUCCUAGCAGAGUCAUCGAGCCAUACUGGGCCACAAAGCUGUAUGCGAGCUUCCGGUCAAUGUUUUUCUGUUUAUCAGCCUUCGUUGCUCCUGAGUGUGCUUUUCUGUUUCGUUGCGUUCCCAUUCUCGUGGCAGGGUCCCGCUGAGGCGAGAAUGCCCUACGCAUCGGGAUACCAGUCGUGUUCCGUUGGCGUGAGGGAUCCCCAUGCAUGAAAACCCGUUACGCAAGGUCCGAGAAUCUUUUGGAAGGAUGCGGCAGUUCAACGGACUGUGUGAGGUUGAUGUUUGCUCGUUUUUUGGGAUUAUAGGCGUGGCAGCGAAUUGAGGUCGGAGGGCAUAAAGGUCCCACAAGGAUGACUGGCAUGUCUGCCUGCUCACGAGAUGCUUCACGCGCAACAUCCCGUGCCUGCCGCGAUGCCAAUCACGUUCUCAAUUAGGUGACGAGGGUAGGCAGGUGUUACGACAUAUAUGGAGGACAUGCUCAGACAGGUUAAGGAGACUGCACGAGCACAUUAUGCCCGGGGGUGCGUAUCGUGUCGGAUUGACAACGUCCACAGCAGGCACACAUGAUUCCACCCAGCACGUGUCCGAAUUGAGAAAUCGUGUGAAGGACCUUGGCGUCCAUGCUGGUAAUGUGCGACGACAGGAAGCUCGUCAGCGGAGAAUAAACGUAACGCAAGCGUCCACACAGCCUCAUCUAUGUUGGAUGUUCAUUCCUAUCUGGCAAGAUCGUCGAUUUCGUUUGUUGUAUUCUGCUGUAGUCGUGCGCUGGGACAUGGAUGCUGUAUCGGUGUCGUACCUGGGCGCCACGAGCCACCUGCUUGUCUGUGGUGGUUUACGAUGUUGCACUAAUGCGUUUGAAUUCUGUCCGGUUACAGCAUUCCUGUAGAGGAGGACUGUGGUUCGUCGGCUGGACGUAUGUCGAUGGUCUCAUACAGGUGUGUCGGGCGUUUGCCUUAGACACGGAUGAAGGUGUCCGUUCGCGUGGAUUUCCCCCGUCGUCUUCAUGUGGUCCCUUGAUAGUUACACUUGUUACGGUCCACUGCACCCCGGCAGCAUUUUAGCAAUCAGGUUGCACAGGAACCGGUCAGCCUUGAACUUCGUUUUCCAACCCAAUUGCAGGUAUAUCUCGUGGAGUGUUCCGAUAAUUCGUGAUUGAUGCCAGCAGGCCCCAAACUGCCAACUAGCAAAUAGAAUAGUAUCCUUCGCCUGAUGUCCAGUGACUUGUGCAGCGAAGACGUUUAUGUUAGUCAAUCUGUUCCUUGACUGAGGAUGCAGAUUGCUGCAUUAGAUUGCAACAGCCCUCUCCCGCACGGGAGGACUGAAGGAUGUUACCGG